Molecule: ribosomal RNA, 468 nt
Filed under: uncultured bacterium
Lineage: Bacteria
Description: partial 16S ribosomal RNA
Rfam family: Bacterial small subunit ribosomal RNA
Source: RNAcentral
GACGAACGCUGGCGGCGUGCUUAACACAUGCAAGUCGAACGGAAAGGCCCUGCUUUUGUGGGGUGCUCGAGUGGCGAACGGGUGAGUAACACGUGAGUAACCUGCCCUUGACUUUGGGAUAACUUCAGGAAACUGGGGCUAAUACCGGAUAGGAGCUCCUGCUGCAUGGUGGGGGUUGGAAAGUUUCGGCGGUUGGGGAUGGACUCGCGGCUUAUCAGCUUGUUGGGGGGGUAGUGGCUUAACAAGGCUUUGACGGGUAGCCGGCCUGAGAGGGUGACCGGCCACAUUGGGACUGAGAUACGGCCCAGACUCCUACGGGAGGCAGCAGUGGGGAAUAUUGCACAAUGGGCGGAAGCCUGAUGCAGCAACGCCGCGUGCGGGAUGACGGCCUUCGGGUUGUAAACCGCUUUCGCCUGUGACGAAGCGUGAGUGACGGUAAUGGGUAAAGAAGCACCGGCUAACUACGUG